GGCUGGUCCGAAGGUAGUGAGUUAUCUCACGUGAUUGUUCACAGUCAGUUACAGAUUGAACUCCUUGUUCUACUACUUCCCCCCCUCCUCACUACUGCACUUGACUAGUCUUAA
This is an unclassified non-coding RNA of Microcebus murinus (gray mouse lemur), 114 nucleotides long. It matches the Rfam family "Y RNA". Rfam says of the family: Y RNAs are components of the Ro ribonucleoprotein particle (Ro RNP), in association with Ro60 and La proteins. The Y RNAs and Ro60 and La proteins are well conserved, but the function of the Ro RNP is not known. Lineage: Eukaryota; Metazoa; Chordata; Mammalia; Primates; Cheirogaleidae. The record is from Ensembl.